RNAcentral lists this unclassified non-coding RNA (906 nucleotides) under Hevea brasiliensis (rubber tree). The record is from RNAcentral. Lineage: Eukaryota; Viridiplantae; Streptophyta; Magnoliopsida; Malpighiales; Euphorbiaceae.
UUGGGGUUACAAGCGUGUUGAGGAGAUUAUUUGGGUUAAGACCAAUCAACUUCAGCGAAUCAUCAGAACUGGACGGACAGGCCAUUGGCUCAAUCACAGCAAGGAACAUUGCCUUGUUGGAAUAAAGGGAAAUCCAGAGGUGAACAGGAAUAUUGAUACUGAUGUCAUAGUAGCAGAGGUUCGGGAAACAAGUCGUAAGCCAGAUGAGAUGUACCCCUUGCUCGAAAGAAUUAGUCCAAGGACAAGAAAGCUGGAGUUAUUUGCUCGGAUGCACAAUGUUCAUGGCGGGUGGAUGUCACUUGGAAACCAACUACAAGGGGUACGAUUAGUUGAUGAAGGGCUUAGGGCGCGGUUCAAGGCUGCAUAUCCAGAUGUGGAGGUGCAACCUGCAUCACCUCCAAGGCCAUCUGCAAUGGAAGUAGAUUCAAGUUCUAAUCAAAUAAGGAAUACAUUUGCUGGGGGUGAAUUAAAGGCUGCAGGGACACAGGUCACUGAGGCUACACCUCCAGAUGCAGCAGCCUAUGCAACUGAAGGAAAACCAGUAAACCGUGAUGUGGAGAUGACUAGCUAAGAACUUUGUCAUAGAACUAGUUAUUUAUCCCUGUACUGUUUCCACCUGUCCACAAGAUUUUGCAGGUGGAUGUGGAGUACUACUUCCAUCAAGAUUCUCAGGCGGCCGGACAAGUCACUGUUAACCAUCAAAAAGCAGCCUUACAGUAGUCCCCUCAAGUAUAAUAGUUGAUAAAACGUACUGCUACCUUUCUUUGUUGUUUCCUCGAAGUACAGGUAGUGGGUGUUUUACAUGUAACUUGUAAGCACACAUAUAUCUCUUAGUCCACUUAGUGAACGGAUGACCCAAGUUUUUGGUUGCAAUGUAAUCUACCAUCAUAGCUCAACAUACACGAG